RNAcentral lists this ribosomal RNA (436 nucleotides) under uncultured bacterium. RNAcentral describes it as "partial 16S ribosomal RNA". It matches the Rfam family "Bacterial small subunit ribosomal RNA", at positions 29 to 507 of the family's 1533-position model. The record is from RNAcentral.
AACGAACGCUGGCGGCAUGCCUAACACAUGCAAGUCGAACGAGAUCCUUCGGGGUCUAGUGGCGCACGGGUGCGUAACGCGUGGGAAUCUGCCCUUAGGUUCGGAAUAACAGUUAGAAAUGACUGCUAAUACCGGAUGAUGACGUUAAGUCCAAAGAUUUAUCGCCUGAGGAUGAGCCCGCGUAGGAUUAGCUAGUUGGUGUGGUAAAGGCGCACCAAGGCGACGAUCCUUAGCUGGUCUGAGAGGAUGAUCAGCCACACUGGGACUGAGACACGGCCCAGACUCCUACGGGAGGCAGCAGUGGGGAAUAUUGGACCAUGGGCGCAAGCCUGAUCCAGCAAUGCCGCGUGGGUGAUGAAGGCCUUAGGGUUGUAAAGCUCUUUUACCCGAGAUGAUAAUGACAGUAUCGGGAGAAUAAGCCCCGGCUAACUCCGUG